ACUUAAAUAGCUUAUAUAGAGUAUAAUAUUGAAGAUAUUAUGGAAAUAAAUUUAUUUUUAAGUA
RNAcentral lists this transfer RNA (64 nucleotides) under Noterus clavicornis. RNAcentral describes it as "tRNA-Phe". Lineage: Eukaryota; Metazoa; Arthropoda; Insecta; Coleoptera; Noteridae. The record is from RNAcentral. RNAcentral also lists the same sequence under 1 other name.